CCUACGGGAGGCAGCAGUGAGGAAUUUUCCGCAAUGGGCGCAACCCUGACGCAGCAACGCCGCGUGAGUGAUGAGGGCCUUCGGGUCGUAAAGCUCUGUCAGAGGGGAAGAAAUGCAGGUGGUGAACAACCAUUCUGUUUGACGGUACCCUCAAAGGAAGCACCGGCUAACUCCGUGCCAGCAGCCGCGGUAAUACGGAGGGUGCGAGCGUUGUUCGGAAUUAUUGGGCGUAAAGCGCGUGUAGGCGGUUUGUUAAGUCGGAUGUAAAAGCCCCGGGCUAAACCGGGGAAGUGCAUUGGAUACGGGCAGACUUGAGUACGGGAGAGGAGAGUGAAAUUCCCAGUGUAGGAGUAAAAUCCGUAGAUAUUGGGAGGAACACCGGUGGCGAGGGCGGCUCUC
Molecule: ribosomal RNA, 399 nt
Filed under: uncultured Geobacteraceae bacterium
Lineage: Bacteria; Pseudomonadati; Thermodesulfobacteriota; Desulfuromonadia; Geobacterales; Geobacteraceae
Description: partial 16S ribosomal RNA
Rfam family: Bacterial small subunit ribosomal RNA
Source: RNAcentral